Microcebus murinus (gray mouse lemur) is the source of this 102-nucleotide unclassified non-coding RNA. It matches the Rfam family "Y RNA". Rfam says of the family: Y RNAs are components of the Ro ribonucleoprotein particle (Ro RNP), in association with Ro60 and La proteins. The Y RNAs and Ro60 and La proteins are well conserved, but the function of the Ro RNP is not known. In humans the RNA component can be one of four small RNAs -- hY1, hY3, hY4 and hY5. The record is from Ensembl. Lineage: Eukaryota; Metazoa; Chordata; Mammalia; Primates; Cheirogaleidae.
GGCUGAUCUGAGUGCAGUGGUGUUUACAACUAAUUGAUCACAACCAGUUACAGAUUCUUUUGUUCCUUUUCAACUCCUACUGUUUCACUUGACCAGCCUAUA